RNAcentral lists this ribosomal RNA (465 nucleotides) under uncultured bacterium. RNAcentral's name for it is "bacterial SSU rRNA". It matches the Rfam family "Bacterial small subunit ribosomal RNA", at positions 28 to 509 of the family's 1533-position model. The record is from RNAcentral.
GACGAACGCUGGCGGCGUGCUUAACACAUGCAAGUCACGGGGGCCCGCAAGGGCAACCGGCGAACGGGUGCGUAACACGUGAACAACCUGCCCUCGUGUGGGGGAUAGCCGGGCUAACGCCCGGGUAAUACCGCAUACGUUCCCUUGGAGGAGUCUCUGGGGGAGGAAAGCUCCGGCGCACGGGGAGGGGUUCGCGGCCUAUCAGCUAGUUGGCGGGGUAAUGGCCCACCAAGGCGACGACGGGUAGCUGGUCUGAGAGGAUGGCCAGCCACAUUGGGACUGAGAGACGGCCCAGACUCCUACGGGAGGCAGCAGUGGGGAAUCUUGCGCAAUGGCCGAAAGCUGACGCAGCGACGCCGCGUGUGGGAGGACGCCUUUCGGGUGUAAACCACUGUUGCCCGGGACGAACAGCCUUUUCGAGGGUCUGACGGUACCGGGUGAGGAAGCACCGGCUAACUCCGUGCC